GACGAACGCUGGCGGCGUGCUUAACACAUGCAAGUCGAACGGUGAAAGCGGAGCUUGCUCCGCUGGAUCAGUGGCGAACGGGUGAGUAACACGUGGGCAACCUGCCCCUCACUUCGGGAUAACUCCGGGAAACCGGGGCUAAUACCGGAUAUGACCUCCUUGGGCAUCCUUGGAGGUGGAAAGUUUUUCGGUGAGGGAUGGGCCCGCGGCCUAUCAGCUUGUUGGUGGGGUAGUGGCUCACCAAGGCGACGACGGGUAGCCGGCCUGAGAGGGCGACCGGCCACACUGGGACUGAGACACGGCCCAGACUCCUACGGGAGGCAGCAGUGGGGAAUAUUGCGCAAUGGACGAAAGUCUGACGGAGCAACGCCGCGUGAGUGAUGAAGGCUUUCGGGUCGUAAAACUCUGUUGUUAGGGAAGAACAAGUGCUAGUUGAAUAAGCUGGCACCUUGACGGUACCUAACCAGAAAGCCACGGCUAACUACGUGCCAGCCGCCGCGUAA
Molecule: ribosomal RNA, 503 nt
Filed under: uncultured bacterium
Lineage: Bacteria
Description: partial 16S ribosomal RNA
Rfam family: Bacterial small subunit ribosomal RNA
Source: RNAcentral